UGCAGGGCACUGCACAAAAAACCAUAAAACGUCUUACGAGUCUACUUUAAGAGAUUCCAUCCAUAAGCAAUGAUAACACUGAGUAAAUAGAUACCCCUGGCUGAACAUCAUCAUCUUCCCACUCGCAGUUUAACGAAUAUGCCGUUCGCUCAAAGCGAAGCCUCUGACGGUUCCCGCCUUCAAUUUCGAAGUCUUCCUCAGAUUCUGGAAUAUGUUGAGAGGAAAUAACUUCAUUAAGAGCUAUGCCUGUGUGACGCAUGCUAUUAGUGCAAAGGAAAAAGAAAGCGUUGCAACAUAUUUAGUAGUUGACACACUGAUACUUAUAUUGCGCAUGCUUAUUUAAUACGCUUUCUUAUUUGUAUUAGGCACAUCAAGAUUUUCAGUAGUCCAGCUGCAUCAGUAUGCUCAAUCUGCACAUAAACCUCGAACAGCCGGAAAAAAUACAACUGCACUGCCAACAGAUGCACCCGUAUCUGACGAUGAUGCACCUGCUAACAGCACAGCAGCUGCACCAAGCCAAGCAGCAGGUAGAGCCCCAUUCUCGACAGAAAGAAGCGGACACAUCGGGUAGUGAUGAUGAACAGGAGGCUAGAAACAACGUUUGGAGUGCAACGGCCAGCAGCACGACGACAGCUCAUGCUGCAGCAUGCCAGCUCGAUGACUUCCCAUGACGCAUCACUGAAUGAUGAACAGAUCUGUUCAUGUCUGACGACGACGCUUCACAGCAACAUGUUCCUGGAGAACUGACUUCAGACAAGAAGAUUGUAGGUCCAUCAGAACUUACAAGAACUACACAAACAUGUUUGAGGUCAAUACGACCUUGCCGAUAUUCUGGUAGCUGAAGCUAACAAAGAAAAAUUUCGUCACUACAUUAACAUUCAUUUCUUACUUUAAAAAAACUUCGUCUGCGUCGCUUCUUGUAUGCCUUCUUUGCUUUUUUUUAUCUGAGAAUUUUAGAGUUUGUGUAAACUUGACACUUCGCUGUAUUAUUAUUAACGAUGCGCUUUAUGUUCUGUAUAAUUGUUUGCUCUUUAUACUGUGUAAAAUUUUUAAAGCUUCCCUUACCCAAUGCCCAUUCUUCGGACCUGUAAGGUAUCUUAAAUAGAUACAUACAUAAGUAAAUAACUGUUGGUUAGCCACUCACCAGGUUUGGGCAUCGCAAAUGGUUCAGUGUAUGUAACAUACCGAUCUCUGCUAGAAAUUACACUAAUGUCUGUUGUAAAAGAAUGUUGGUUCAAUAUUGCUUCAAUUGAAAUUUCAUUAGUGUUUUUCGGAAGCACUAAGAAAUGCAAUCACAAUUAUACAAAAGCAAAAUAAUUUUCUGAUGCGCAUUACAUCUCUUAUCAUUUGCUUUAGGAUGAAUGGACUGCUUAAUCACAGGAGUAUGGUCUCGGGUUGCUGCUUAUAGAGUUGAAUGUCAGGCUAUUUUUAGUUUUCAAUUUCAGUACUGUAAUUUGCUCAGCGAGUUGCUUCAUAUUAGUUGGUAAAAGUGUUCAAGCAGCUUCUGCACGUUUGAUGACCGCUUAUACAAUUUUUUUUUCAUUUUUGAUAGGUUCUUUGCAAAAAUAUUCUGGUGUGCUUUCGUUGAGGGGGAUGUCCACAUACACUGAUAAAGUCAGGGGGGCAUAAUUCUUGUAAGGGGGAAAGAUGGCUUGAAACAUUAACAUAAUUUUAUUUACCUGUAUUUCUGCAUUGGAAGACUUCUUCAAAAAUGUAAAUGAGCUAGCUUUCUCAACAACAUAUUACACUUGCCUAUGUAUAAUACAUCUGAUGGAGCCUAGGUGAGCCGUUUUUUAAAGCUGAAAAUUAAACAUGAAGACUGGUGUCAUUUAGAACGAAGUUUAUGGUGCUAAGUUUAUUGCUGCAUGCGUGUGAAUUUUUUCAGUAAGGGUUGCAAUCAGGUUGUCCAUGCAGUAGGUUAGAAAAUGUUUUAGUUGAAAUUGCCUGCUUCUUGUUCAGGGAAGGCAUCUAACACAACAGCUCCUUUUGGGGUCCAGUGCCUUUUAUAGAGCUCAACAGUACAUGUACACAGGUGUGCACACGCUCAAUUUGGUUUGGUUAUUUCUUUUCUACUUUCAGCAGUAAAUGCCUGACUGCUCCUUGAGGCCUGCUCGUUGUGACAGGUCAUAUUCCGGGGAAUUAUUUUAUGUUGUUGUCACUGAAAGCGCUGUUCUGUCUAAAGGUGAUAUUCUCGUCAUGGUGCUGAGGCACGUUGUAAAAAAUAAUUUAUCAUUUACAGGGCUGACCAACAUCUUAGACCUUAUCAACAGAAAUUUUGAAUGUGCAAUAUUGCCGCAUUCUCGGUACCAGCUCUCCAAACUGUUGAGCAAAACGGGCAAAACAAUAUCAUAUUCUUGUUUUUGCCCUAAAUGCGUCACACAUAUAGAAAAUUUUGAAACAAAUUCUUCUUUUCGGUGCACACAGUGCGGACACAAAACCAGUGUUUCCAGUCUAUCAGAUUUGCCUUCUUUGUGACUCUCGAUGUGGAGUCACAGUUGCAAAGAUUGUUAAAAGACUGCACACUUUUUGACCUGACAAAGCCACUUCACCAUGAUAGUUCACUUGGUGAUAUAUGGGAUGGUGAAAUGUAGCGAAGAUUAUCAGCUGCAACACCAUAGUGUUGGCCCCAGAAUCAUCAUCGCAUUAAACGCUGAUGAGACGCCACUUUUCAAGUCACGUGGCACGGCCAUUUCACAGGCCCAUUCAGUUGAUGGUGAAUGAAGUUACUACUAAGCAGAGGAUGUGCAAACGGGUUCUUGCAGCCUUGUGGUUCUGGAAGGAGAAGCUAGGCAUGGAGCUUCUUCAAAGCGUAUUUCUCAAGCAAGUAAGCCAGUUAAGUGAAAAUGGCUUCGUAUUGGAGCGACAGGGGCAACUUCAGACAUUCAAAGCUUAUUGCAUUUUUUGUACAGUUGAUUCUGUUGCCAUGGCGCCCGUGCAAGGUGUUACUCAAUUCAAUGAUUAUUUUGGGUGUAAUUGGUGCCUGAAGGAGCUGGUGAAUCAGCGAAAAACCAAGCAGAGUCAGUUAAUUCCACUGAGAGAACAAAAGGCUAGGUGCUUGCAGACAUGCAAGCAGCCAUUGCGGAAGGGGGGACCGUUCAUGGUGUGUAAACAUUGUCUCCGUUGAUCCCAUGCACUUAGGUAAUCGCUUUAAGAAAUAUUCACUCUUUGCGGAGGUGGACGUUACGUGGCGCCAAUUUUUGAGGCCCAAUGUUGACGUUCAGCACGCAGAUGACAGUGCUACACUGCGGCCUGCAGGGAGCGGCGAAACAUUGACGUCGCGGUAAACGCAAGACGCGUUCAUGUGUUUUUCGUCUAUGCAACUGCCGGCGCUUAGAGUUGCAUGCCGUGCCGUUGUAGAUACGACCUAGGUGACACGGUGACACUGUAUAGCUUGUGUAGUCUCAGCUUCUUUUUCGUUUCAAUUAUUACUUCGUGAAUAAGAUAGCCACGGUUGACCUAGUCGUUUAUUUGAACAUUGUGUGCCCCGGAAUGUAGACAUGAUGUGCAUAUAAACGUUUUGCUCUUACGUCUCAUAUUUUAAUUGUGCUGUUUAAGGUAUAUAGCUGUUCCGCAUCUAUUGUUCUUAGUUUUUCUUUUUCUCGUGCUAAAUGAUAUUGUACUUAGUUCUCAAAACGUCUGCAUUCUGUUUUAUCAGGACUUGUACAUUAAGAACUUGUUUCACUUUGUUCUGCAUAGAAAAAGGAAUAAACUCUGUGCAAUCAAAUGAACA
Long non-coding RNA from Dermacentor andersoni, 3730 nucleotides. RefSeq lists it as uncharacterized. The record is from RefSeq and is a predicted model, not a curated record. NCBI's taxonomy places the organism in Eukaryota, Metazoa, Arthropoda, Arachnida, Ixodida, Ixodidae.